CCUACGGGAGGCAGCAGUGGGGAAUAUUGGACAAUGGGGGCAACCCUGAUCCAGCCAUGCCGCGUGUGUGAAGAAGGCCCUCGGGUUGUAAAGCACUUUCAGUGAGGAAGAACGCCUGGUGGUUAAUACCCAUCAGGAAAGACAUCACUCACAGAAGAAGCACCGGCUAACUCCGUGCCAGCAGCCGCGGUAAUACGGAGGGUGCGAGCGUUAAUCGGAAUUACUGGGCGUAAAGCGCGCGUAGGUGGCUUGAUAAGCCGGUUGUGAAAGCCCCGGGCUCAACCUGGGAACGGCAUCCGGAACUGUCCAGCUAGAGUGCAGGAGAGGAAGGUAGAAUUCCCGGUGUAGCGGUGAAAUGCGUAGAGAUCGGGAGGAAUACCAGUGGCGAAGGCGGCCUUCUGGACUGACACUGACACUGAGGUGCGAAAGCGUGGGUAGCAAACAGGAUUAGAUACCCUGGUAGUC
Molecule: ribosomal RNA, 465 nt
Filed under: Vreelandella stevensii
Lineage: Bacteria; Pseudomonadati; Pseudomonadota; Gammaproteobacteria; Oceanospirillales; Halomonadaceae
Description: partial 16S ribosomal RNA
Rfam family: Bacterial small subunit ribosomal RNA
Source: RNAcentral